Molecule: long non-coding RNA, 1426 nt
Filed under: Sus scrofa (pig)
Lineage: Eukaryota; Metazoa; Chordata; Mammalia; Artiodactyla; Suidae
Description: lncRNA (ENSSSCG00050043941.1)
Source: RNAcentral
GCAAAUACACCUUCCUGAUACUGUUAAGCACUUAUCAUACUCAGCACUUUAUCUUCACAACCAUCGUUUGAAGGAGGUAGCCUCUUUCCCACUUUACAGAUGUUGAAACGGGUUAAGCAAGUUGGCCAAAUUUACAUAAUUUACAGGCACCAGAACCAAGAAUUGAAAUUGUUUCAUGAGUCCAAAGCACGGAUUCUUUUCCCAUGUUAAAGAAAGGAAAAAAAGUGAGCAUUUAUCAAGGCCCUACUUUGUCAUGUAGUCUGUUGGGAGCUCAGUUCUGUGCCCACCAAAUUCAUAGGCUGAAGCCCUAAUCACCAGUACCUUAGAAUGUGACUAUAUAAAGUCUUUAAUGAGGUCUUUGGGGGCACACUCUAAUCCAAUAUGACCGAGGUCCUUUAAGAAGAGGAAAUUUGGGUACCAGGCCUGCAUGUGCACAGAAGAGACCAUGUGCAAGAAGCACGCCCUCUGCUGGCCAAUGGGAGGAGGCCUCAGAGGAAACCACACCUGCUGACACCUUGACCUUGGCCUUCCAGACUUCAGAACUGUCCUUUAAGCCACUCAGUCUGUGGUAUUUAGUUACAGCAGCCCCAACAAAGUGAGUCUUCCAUAAGCCAGCCAGGUGGGUGGAAUUUUCUUAUGACUCAAGCUUAAUAAGUUGCCUGCAGUCACAUGAUCCAGAGCCCACAGUCUUCCACUGAGUUGCCGCUCCUCUGACCCUAGUCUGUGCUUUAUACACUGCAAAGCACUGUAGAGAAACCAGAAAUGAAACUGUCAAACACGGGCUUGCACGCUUGCAGUUCUGAAGCACUGCACAUCGAUCGCCAGCCUCACAGCGGUUCAAACAAAAGGGACUAAAGCACUGAAGGUGCUUUGCCAGAACACAAAAAACGGCCAUGUGUUUACAGCACAAAUGAUUGUAAGUCGAGUGCAUCUGGGAACAAAGAAGCAAGGAUUUGGAGCGUUCGAGACCCAGGAAAGCUGAAAACACAGCUUUCCCUUGGAGGAAAGAGAGGGAAGCUGUUCAGGAAGCCAAGCCCAGGCCAUCAGAAACUGCGGACCUGUCUCCGAGGGGAAACACACGUUAACCCAGCCGGGGCUGGAUCACCUGACUGGAGCAGGGGCGGAAGAUCUGGCGAGGCCGAGGUACACUAUUCAGAGUCAAGGCGUGAGCAAGGUUAGAGCUUAGCGAGGUCUGCAAUUCACCCACCUUGGUGUGGACUGCAGGAUGGCCAAGUGACAGGGCCAGAACUUAGGUUUACAAUUUUGUUUUUUGCGAUUUCUUGGGCCGCUUCUAUGGCACAUAGAGGUUCCAAGGCUAAGGGUCUAAUCGGAUCUGUAGCCACCGGCCUAAGCCAGAGUCACAGCAACUCGGGAUCCAAGGUGCCUCUGUAACCUACACCAUAACUCAUGGCAACGCCAGAUCCUU